This 253-nucleotide ribosomal RNA is filed under the name uncultured bacterium. RNAcentral's name for it is "partial 16S ribosomal RNA". It matches the Rfam family "Bacterial small subunit ribosomal RNA", at positions 524 to 776 of the family's 1533-position model. The record is from RNAcentral.
UACGUAGGGUCCGAGCGUUGUCCGGAAUUACUGGGCGUAAAGAGCUCGUAGGUGGUUUGUCGCGUUGUUCGUGAAAACUCACAGCUUAACUGUGGGCGUGCGGGCGAUACGGGCAGACUGGAGUACUGCAGGGGAGACUGGAAUUCCUGGUGUAGCGGUGAAAUGCGCAGAUAUCAGGAGGAACACCGAUGGCGAAGGCAGGUCUCUGGGCAUUACCUGACGCUGAGGAGCGAAAGUGUGGGGAGCGAACAGG